GUUUGUGUAGCUUAUCCAAAGCAAAGCACUGAAAAUGCUUAGAUGGGCUUUAAUUUAGUCCCACAAGCA
Molecule: transfer RNA, 69 nt
Filed under: Antechinus arktos
Lineage: Eukaryota; Metazoa; Chordata; Mammalia; Dasyuromorphia; Dasyuridae
Description: tRNA-Phe
Rfam family: tRNA
About the family: Transfer RNA (tRNA) molecules are approximately 80 nucleotides in length.
Source: RNAcentral